Danio rerio (zebrafish) is the source of this 1477-nucleotide non-coding RNA. The record is from RefSeq and is a predicted model, not a curated record. NCBI's taxonomy places the organism in Eukaryota, Metazoa, Chordata, Actinopteri, Cypriniformes, Danionidae.
UUAAUUAAUGUUCAAAAUUGAAUUUAGACUUAUUUUUCACAUCUGUUUGUUAAAGAAUGACUAAAAAUUAUAUUUAUGUAUCAGUAUUAUAAACUUAACUAUUAAUGAAGUGUCUGAAUUCUGUAAACAUUAUACCUGUGUGGUUUCGGUCAGUGACCAUCACUUUCUCGUGUUGGAUUUUGAGGAAUGGAAUUUAAAAUGCUCUCAAAUAAAGUACUGAAAAAAUGUGUGGAAUGAGAAUUCGAACUGGUUGUAAAAGGAACUUAUCUAGGAAGAGUAGGACCCCUAGUGUUUAUCUCUGCACAUGUCUGAGUCUGUAAAUCAUUAUAAUGGUAAACAUGGCUGUUCUUGGUUUAAUAGGAUGCAGAGGAGAUAUACAUGGAGAAUGUGAUGCGACUGAAAGAAGAACAAACCACCCAAGUACUACAAAUGGUAGUGAGUUCCAAAGCCGGGGAGCAGAGCGGCUGAAGGCUCUAUUGCCCAUAGACGAUAGACAAGCAGAGAAAACAGACAAGUGGAGCAGACUCAAGCGCAUGGAGAACAUUAGAAACUGGACACAUUUACCACAUCCACAGUAGACAUCUUCAGUCAUUUUCAUCGCUUGUAUUUAUUUUCAGAGGAAAUGCAGCUCAGCACCACCUUCAAGAUGGGCAGUUUCCAGUGGCACCACGUGGAGGAACGGACUUCGCCACCUAUAUAUACAGGGUUUGGAUUAUCACUCACCAUAAACUACAACUACAUACGAAAUCACUAGUCAAUAAAUGAUGUCCUUCAACCAUCAAUCAUAUAGCACAUUAGCAAAACAUUAAGACUAAAGAAGGCUGUAUAUGAGGACAAUAUCAAAGCAAAUACUAAAGGUAGUAACUUUAUUCCUCUUCAGAACACAAAUGAAGAUAUUUGACUGAAAAUAAUGAAGAUCUUUUAGUUAAAUCUGAGAGCUCCUUAAUCCUUCAUAGACAGCAAGAUUCCUGACUAUGAGAAAACUUUAUGUGGACAUAAAACAAAAAUAACUUUAUUCAACAAUUUCUCCCCUCAGUGUCAGUAUAGAGCACGCGUUCACGUGUUGCGCAUCUGACAUAUAACCUUGGAUGCGCCUGUGUUUUUUUAAGAGAGGAAGUCAGAGAGGAAGUCGCGCAGGCAUCCAGUGGGGUAUAUGUCACUGCACAGUGCUUGUGAACGCGUGCCCUAUCAUCACACUGAGGAAAAGAAACUGAAUAAAAAAAGUUUGUUUUAUGUGAAGGCAUAUGAUCUGUUUUGAGGAGGUUUUUGUAGACUUUGAGUCUGGAUGAGGGAGCUCUAAGAUAAAGAUAAAAAUAGUAAAAAUAGUUCUGAAGAUAAGCAUGAGAAUGAGUAAUCAAUAACAUAACUUACUUUUUAAAAAAUGUUUUGUUUAUUAUUAUUAUUAUAAUUUUGUUGUUGUUUUUAGAAGAAUUUCUGAUUGGUCAAAAACAUGGCCAGUAAUAGAUUUAUACUUCAA